GACGAACGCUGGCGGCGUGCUUAACACAUGCAAGUCGAACGAUGACGACCGAGCUUGCUCGGUCUGAUUAGUGGCGAACGGGUGAGUAACACGUGAGCAACCUGCCCUUCACUCUGGGAUAACCUCGGGAAAUCGGGGCUAAUACCGGAUAUGAGCUCCUGUCGCAUGGUGGGUGUUGGAAAGUUUUUCGGUGAAGGAUGGGCUCGCGGCCUUUCCGUUUGUUGGUGAGGUUGUGGCUCACCAAGGCGAUGACGGGUAGGCGGCCUAGGAGGGCGACCGGCCACACUGGGACAGAGACACUGCCGCGACUCCUACGGGAGGCAGCAGUGGGGGAUAUUGCACAAUGGGCGAAAGCCUGAUGCAGCGACGCCGCGUGAGGGAUGACGGCCUUCGGGUUGUAAACCUCUUUCAGCAGGGAAGAAGCGAAAGUGACGGUACCUGCAGAAGAAGCGCCGGCUAACUACGUG
This 467-nucleotide ribosomal RNA is filed under the name uncultured bacterium. Its description in RNAcentral is "partial 16S ribosomal RNA". It matches the Rfam family "Bacterial small subunit ribosomal RNA", at positions 28 to 507 of the family's 1533-position model. The record is from RNAcentral.